This 510-nucleotide ribosomal RNA is filed under the name Triticum aestivum (bread wheat). RNAcentral's name for it is "partial small subunit ribosomal RNA". The record is from RNAcentral. Lineage: Eukaryota; Viridiplantae; Streptophyta; Magnoliopsida; Poales; Poaceae.
AUGGCGUCCGUGGCGGCGGUGGAUUCCUGCCGUCCACUCAAUCCCGCGCUCGAUCUCCUAGCCCCUCCUCUCCUGCGCUCGUUUCCCUGCUGCCUCUCUCAUGAAGAAGAAGGGGUGGUUCUCGGCACAGGCUGGGCUGGCACCUCCUUCCUCAAGAACCUCGACUCCUCCCGCUACGAGGUGAAGGUCAUCUCGCCCCGCAACUGCUUCGCGUUCACGCCGCUGCUCCCCAGCGUCACCUGCGGCACCGUGGAGGCGCGCAGCGCCGUCGAGCCGAUACAGAGGAUGUUCGAGAAGAAUGGGAAGGAUGUCGCGUAUUAUGAAGCAGAGUGCUUGAAGAUCAAUCUGACGAAGAAAGCCGUCCACUGCCGCUCUGCCGUCGGCACUAAUUUGGAUGGGAAUGGCGAUUUCAUGCUUGAUUAUGAUUACUUGGUUGUCGCUCUUGGAGCUGCUGUCAAUACAUUUAACACUCCUGGCGUGAUGGAGCAUUGCCACUUUCUGAAGGUUUGA